UACGUAGGUGGCGAGCGUUGUCCGGAUUUACUGGGCGUAAAGGGAGCAUAGGCGGACUUUUAAGUGAGAUGUGAAAUACCCGGGCUCAACUUGGGUGCUGCAUUUCAAACUGGAAGUCUAGAGUGCAGGAGAGGAGAAUGGAAUUCCUAGUGUAGCGGUGAAAUGCGUAGAGAUUAGGAAGAACACCAGUGGCGAAGGCGAUUCUCUGGACUGUAACUGACGCUGAGGCUCGAAAGCGUGGGGAGCAAACAGGAUUAGAUACCCCCGUA
Molecule: ribosomal RNA, 269 nt
Filed under: uncultured prokaryote
Description: partial 16S ribosomal RNA
Rfam family: Bacterial small subunit ribosomal RNA
Source: RNAcentral